Molecule: ribosomal RNA, 1507 nt
Filed under: uncultured bacterium
Lineage: Bacteria
Description: bacterial SSU rRNA
Rfam family: Bacterial small subunit ribosomal RNA
Source: RNAcentral
AUUAGAGUUUGAUCCUGGCUCAGAGUGAACGCUGGCGGCAUGGUUAAGACAUGCAAGUCGAACGAAAAGCAGAUCUUCGGAUUUGUGGAAGGUGGCGAACGGGUGCGUAACACGUGAGCAACCUGCCCUAAAGUGCGGAACAGCCUGUCGAAAGAUGGAUUAAUGCCGCAUGUGGCUCUUCUUCGCAUGAAGAAGUGGCUAAAGCUUGUAAUGGCGCUUUAGGAUGGGCUCGCGGCCUAUCAGCUUGUUGGUAAGGUAACGGCUUACCAAGGCUAAGACGGGUAGCUGGCCUGAGAGGAUGAUCAGCCACACCGGGACUGAGACACGGCCCGGACACCUACGGGUGGCAGCAGUUUCGAAUCAUUCACAAUGGGCGAAAGCCUGAUGAUGCAAUGCCGCGUGGAGGAUGAAGGCCUUAGGGUCGUAAACUCCUGUCAUUGGGGAGCAACAAGUAGGUUUAUAGCCUACCAUGAGUUAACCCAAAGAGGAAGAGGUGGCUAACUCCGUGCCAGCAGCCGCGGUAAUACGGAGACCUCGAGCGUUACUCGGAUUCACUGGGCGUAAAGGGUGAGUAGGUGGCCAAGUAUGUCAGGUGUGAAAUCCCGGGGCUUAACCCCGGAACUGCGCCUGAGACUACUUGGCUAGAGUCUCGGAGAGGAUAGUGGAAUUCCAAGUGUAGCGGUGAAAUGCGUAGAUAUUUGGAGGAACACCAGUGGCGAAGGCGACUAUCUGGACGAGUACUGACGCUCAAUCACGAAAGCGUGGGUAGCGAAAGGGAUUAGAUACCCCUGUAGUCCACGCCGUAAACGUUGCACACUAAGUUUCGGAGGAUUCGACCCCUUCGGAGCUCAAGCUAACGCGUUAAGUGUGCCGCCUGAGGACUACGGCCGCAAGGCUAAAACUCAAAGGAAUUGACGGGGGCCCGCACAAGCGGUGGAGCAUGUGGCUUAAUUCGAGGCAACGCGAAGAACCUUACCUGGUCUUGACAUGCCCGUCAUAGUUUUCCGAAAGGAAUUCGUCAGUUAGGCUGGACGGUGCACAGGUGCUGCAUGGCUGUCGUCAGCUCGUGUCGUGAGAUGUUCGGUUAAGUCCGGCAACGAGCGCAACCCUCGUUUCUAGUUGCCAGCGGGUAAUGCCGGGGACUCUAGGAAGACAAACCUCGUGUAGAGGUGGGAAGGUGGGGACGACGUCAAGUCAGUAUGGCCCUUACGACCAGGGCUGCACACGUGCUACAAUGCCCGGUACAAUGGGAUGCGAUACCGCGAGGUUGAGCCAAUCCAUAAAACCGGGCCCAGUUCGGAUUGGAGUCUGCAACUCGACUCCAUGAAGUUGGAAUCGCUAGUAAUGGCGUAUCAGCAACGACGCCGUGAAUACGUUCCCGGGCCUUGUACACACCGCCCGUCACAUCAUGAAAGCCGGUUCUGCCCGAAGUACGUGAGCCAACCGCAAGGAGGCAGCGUCCUAAGGUGGGGCUGGUGAUUGGGAUGAAGUCGUAACAAGGUAACCA